This 256-nucleotide ribosomal RNA is filed under the name uncultured archaeon. RNAcentral's name for it is "partial 16S ribosomal RNA". It matches the Rfam family "Bacterial small subunit ribosomal RNA", at positions 521 to 776 of the family's 1533-position model. The record is from RNAcentral.
UAAUACGAAGGGUGCAAGCGUUACUCGGAAUUACUGGGCGUAAAGGGUGCGUAGGUGGUUCGUUAAGUCUGAUGUGAAAGCCCUGGGCUCAACCUGGGAAUUGCAUUGGAUACUGGCGGGCUGGAGUGCGGUAGAGGGUAGUGGAAUUCCCGGUGUAGCAGUGAAAUGCGUAGAUAUCGGGAGGAACAUCCGUGGCGAAGGCGACUACCUGGACCAGCACUGACACUGAGGCACGAAAGCGUGGGGAGCAAACAGG